RNAcentral lists this ribosomal RNA (377 nucleotides) under uncultured delta proteobacterium. Its description in RNAcentral is "bacterial SSU rRNA". It matches the Rfam family "Bacterial small subunit ribosomal RNA", at positions 521 to 896 of the family's 1533-position model. The record is from RNAcentral. Lineage: Bacteria; Deltaproteobacteria.
UAAUACGGGGGGGACUAGCGUUGUUCGGAUUUACUGGGCGUAAAGGGCGCGUAGGCGGACCAUCAAGUCGGGUGUGAAAACUGGCAGCUCAACUGCCAGCCUGCAUCCGAUACUGUUGGCCUUGAGUGCAGGAGAGGAGAGCGGAAUUCCAGGUGUAGCGGUGAAAUGCGUAGAUAUCUGGAAGAACACCGGUAGCGAAGGCGGCUCUCUGGCCUGAUACUGACGCUCAAGCGCGAAGGCUUGGGGAGCAAACAGGAUUAGAUACCCUGGUAGUCCAAGCGGUAAACGAUGGGUACUAGGUGUCGGGGGUAUCGACUCCCUCGGUGCCGGAGCUAACGCAUUAAGUACCCCGCCUGGGGAGUACGGUCGCAAGGCUG